UACUCCUACGGGAGGCAGCAGUGGGGAAUUUUCCGCAAUGGGCGAAAGCCUGACGGAGCAACGCCGCGUGAGGGAUGAAGGCCUCUGGGCUGUAAACCUCUUUUAUCAAGGAAGAAGAUCUGACGGUACUUGAUGAAUAAGCCACGGCUAAUUCCGUGCCAGCAGCCGCGGUAAUACGGGAGUGGCAAGCGUUAUCCGGAAUUAUUGGGCGUAAAGCGUCCGCAGGCGGCCCUUCAAGUCUGCUGUUAAAAAGUGGAGCUUAACUCCAUCAUGGCAGUGGAAACUGUUGGGCUUGAGUGUGGUAGGGGCAGAGGGAAUUCCCGGUGUAGCGGUGAAAUGCGUAGAUAUCGGGAAGAACACCAGUGGCGAAGGCGCUCUGCUGGGCCAUCACUGACGCUCAUGGACGAAAGCCAGGGGAGCGAAAGGGAUUAGAUACCCCUGUAGUCCUGGCCGUAAACGAUGAACACUAGGUGUCGGGGGAAUCGACCCCCUCGGUGUCGUARCCAACGCGUUAAGUGUUCCGCCUGGGGAGUACGCACGCAAGUGUGAAACUCAAAGGAAUUGACGGAAUCACGAA
Molecule: ribosomal RNA, 577 nt
Filed under: uncultured cyanobacterium
Lineage: Bacteria; Bacillati; Cyanobacteriota
Description: bacterial SSU rRNA
Rfam family: Bacterial small subunit ribosomal RNA
Source: RNAcentral